Molecule: long non-coding RNA, 794 nt
Filed under: Homo sapiens (human)
Lineage: Eukaryota; Metazoa; Chordata; Mammalia; Primates; Hominidae
Description: HSALNT0395820
Source: RNAcentral
ACGGGACACCUGCAUCUGCCAACAAGACUGGAAGCAGAAAGGGACAGAGACGGCGAAGUUUGACGGUCUGGAAAGCAGAGACCAGCAGGGCUGACUGCUUGGGAGCACCAAAUAUCCGGACAGCGCCUCUCGGGAGGUCCGAGAAGAGAACCGCGAUCUGUUUCAGCACCGGGGCUCAGGACAGUUCCCAGCGGGCUCCGUUUCGUCUCCAGAACCCUGGACAGCUCCUCCAGCCUCCCAAAGUGCUAGGAUUACAGGCGUGAGUCACUGCGCCUGGCCCAAGUCCGGAAUUUUCAACAGGACAUGGGUGUUACUGUGCCCAUGUGACAUUUGGGGAACCCAAGGCCCUGAGAAAGGCAGAAAAAUAACCCACGCAGGGACUCUCAGCCCACAAGUGAAGCUCUUGGAAUGCACUCCCUCCACCUCCAACCAGAGCUCCCCACAACUGACCCUGCCUUCUUCUGCAAGCUCCAUUUCAUCAAGGGAAACGAUCCUUAUUGCCUCACCAUUUCCCACGUGAAGUCUGUAUUGACAUUCUCAUAGACCUGGGAUAUUGUGUCUGCAGCACAUAGUCCAAUUAUUUUCAUGUUAUCUACUGACAGGUCUAUUUGUCUCCCUGUUACACUGUGAGCUCCGUGAGGGCAGAAACAAUGUUAGUAUUUUCACUGCUGUGUCCCCAGCGCCUGGUCCGGGGCCCGGCACACAGCAGGCAUAUAAUAAGCAUGUGUUGAAUCAAUAAAGGCAUCAAAGAAUAAACCAAUACAUCAAUCAAUAAAUGAAUGAAUGGCCUCAGC